CAGAAUAGCAUGUGAUGGACUAAAACUACAAGGCACAUCAGAAAAAAUUUAUGAGCUAAAAACUACAAGCCACUAUGAUAUCGGUCAUCAUUAAACUGCAUUUCUCACAAAACCUAAGACUAAACUUGGUAGCAAGAGGAACCCAGCGCGACGCCAAAUAUACACUGAGAUGGAGAACACAGCGCUUCUUUCCGGCCACCUGAGUCUUCGUCGCAAUUGGCAUGGAUAUCAACACUAGUUCACCGGUUCAAUACCACCGGCCUCCGACACUUGAACCAGCCAACAGGCACUUUUAUGAUGCAUCAUCGGCUAUAACAAUCAGCGCUUUCAAAGACCAAGCAGCGCCAGAACCUCCAUCGGUCAGUCUUCUCGCUCCGUCCGCCCUACAGGAGAUCAAACUUCCAGCAGCAAAAUGACCUUCCUACCCCUGCUCGACAUGCACACGCCGCCGGGGAGGUACGCGAAACC
RNAcentral lists this ribosomal RNA (468 nucleotides) under Triticum aestivum (bread wheat). RNAcentral's name for it is "partial small subunit ribosomal RNA". The record is from RNAcentral. Lineage: Eukaryota; Viridiplantae; Streptophyta; Magnoliopsida; Poales; Poaceae.